CAGUCGCCGCGGGAAUACGAAGGGGGCUAGCGUUGUUCGGAAUUACUGGGCGUAAAGGGCGCGUAGGUGGCCAAAGUCAGGCGUGAAAUUCCUGGGCUCAACCUGGGGGCUGCGCUUGAUACUUGGUUGCUUGAGUGGGGAAGAGGGUCGUGGAAUUCCCAGUGUAGAGGUGAAAUUCGUAGAUAUCGGAAGGAACACCUGUGGCGAAAGCGGCUCACUGGACCAUAACUGACGCUGAGGCGCGAAAGCUAGGGGAGCAAACAGGAUUAGAUACCCCUGUAGUCCCUGUCUCUUAUACACC
RNAcentral lists this ribosomal RNA (301 nucleotides) under uncultured bacterium. RNAcentral's name for it is "partial 16S ribosomal RNA". It matches the Rfam family "Bacterial small subunit ribosomal RNA", at positions 509 to 810 of the family's 1533-position model. The record is from RNAcentral.